Molecule: long non-coding RNA, 382 nt
Organism: Ipomoea nil (Japanese morning glory)
Lineage: Eukaryota; Viridiplantae; Streptophyta; Magnoliopsida; Solanales; Convolvulaceae
Exons: 2
Source: RefSeq, a predicted model, not a curated record
CAAAAAUCAUUAUCGUUUGUUAAAUAGCAAAUAGAAGUUAAGCACACGCAACGACAAGGGUAAUUGCGUAAUUGGGAGAUGCAGAGCAUCUCAACUGGGCAUGCCAUGAAAUACCAACGAUAAACUUGAAUGUUGUAAAUUGGGAGGAAUAGAGGAUAUGUUCUGGUUACUUAGUUGCAUGUGUUGCUUAGUUCUAUAUCUAAACCUAGGUAUUUCCAAACCGAGCUUUCAGGGCUUCAACAAGGUCAAUGUUGGUAUUUCAAAAACAAUAUUCUAUAUGAAAAACACUGCAGAAAAUAUUAGCUAACACGGCUAAAUGUCAUUCUUAACACUCUAGACAUAACCACCAUGAGGAAGUACGAGAUAAAAGGGGGGGGGAAGA